ACUGUUUAUCAAAAACACAGCACUGUGCUAACACGCAAGUGGACGUAUACAGUGUGACUCCUGCUCGGUGCCGGAAUGUUAAGGAAGCUGGUUAGUCCUUUAGUGGGCAAAGCUAGUGACCGAAGCACCGGUAAACAGCGGCCGUAACUAUGACGGUCCUAAGGUAGCGAAGUUCCUUGUCGGGUAAGUUCCGACGUGCAUGAAUGGAGGAACGACUGGAGCACUGUCUCCACAACCAACUCGGUGAAAUAGAAGUGGCGGUGAAGAUACCGCCUACCCGCAGCAAGACGGAAAGACCCCGUGGACCUUUACUGCAGGCAUAUAUUGGUCAUGGAUGGAUACUGCGCAGGAUAGGUGGGAGGCUUUGAAGCUGAGUUUUCGGACUUGGUGGAGCCAUUCUUGAAAUACCACCCUGUGCUAGUUUGUGGCCUAACCCCGAUUCCCAUGAAGCUGGGCGGGGGACCGUGUAUGCUGGGCGGUUUGACUGGGGCGGUCUCCUCCUAAAGAGUAACGGAGGAGCGCAAAGGUUAGCUCAGCGCGGUUGGAAACCGUGUGUAGAGUGUAAGAGCACAAGCUGGCUUUACUGCAAGACAUACAGGUCGAGCAGUUACGAAAGUAGGCUCUAGUGAUCCUGCAAUCCCGUGUGGAAGGGUUGUAGCUCAACGGAUAAAAGGUACCCCGGGGAUAACAGGCUUAUCGCUCCCGAGCGUCCAUAGCGGCGGAGCGGUUUGGCACCUCGAUGUCGGCUCAUCGCAUCCUGGGGCUGAAGGCGGUCCCAAGGGUUGGGCUGUUCGCCCAUUAAAGCGGUACGCGAGCUGGGUUCAGACCGGCGUGAGCCAGGUCGGUCCCUAUCUGCUGUGGGCGUUGCAUUAUUGAAAGGAUCUUUUCCUAGUACGAGAGGAUUGGAAAGGACUCACCCCUGGUGUGCCAGUUGGACCGCUCGGUCCACCGCUGGGUAGCUAAGUGAGGCAGGGAUAACCGCUGAAAGCAUCUAAGCGGGAAGCCCCCCUAAAGAUGAGUAAUGCAUGUUCUUUAGAAUGAGAGACCCCCGGAAGACUACCGGGUUGAUAGGCCGCGUGUGUACGCAUAGAAAUAUGUUUAGCAAAGCGGUACUAACGGUCAAAGA
Molecule: ribosomal RNA, 1126 nt
Filed under: Phycisphaerae bacterium
Lineage: Bacteria; Pseudomonadati; Planctomycetota; Phycisphaerae
Description: partial 23S ribosomal RNA
Rfam family: Bacterial large subunit ribosomal RNA
Source: RNAcentral